Molecule: ribosomal RNA, 253 nt
Filed under: uncultured bacterium
Lineage: Bacteria
Description: partial 16S ribosomal RNA
Rfam family: Bacterial small subunit ribosomal RNA
Source: RNAcentral
UACGUAGGCAGCAAGCGUUGUUCGGAGUUACUGGGCGUAAAGGGUGUGUAGGCGGUUUUUUAAGUUUGGUGUGAAAUCUCCCGGCUCAACUGGGAGGGUGCGCCGAAUACUGAAAGACUAGAGUGCGGGAGAGGAAAGUGGAAUUCCUGGUGUAGCGGUGAAAUGCGUAGAUAUCAGGAGGAACACCGGUGGUGUAGACGGCUUUCUGGACCGUAACUGACGCUGAGACACGAAAGCGCGGGUAGCAAACAGG